This 1422-nucleotide ribosomal RNA is filed under the name Triticum aestivum (bread wheat). Its description in RNAcentral is "partial small subunit ribosomal RNA". Lineage: Eukaryota; Viridiplantae; Streptophyta; Magnoliopsida; Poales; Poaceae. The record is from RNAcentral.
AUGGAGCACUUCACGCUGCCAUACAACUACCACUUCGGCUUAUGCUUGUUCUUGGCUCUCCUCCUCCAUGCCGUCCUACGCGCCAAGAAGCCUCGCCCGAGGCUGCCUCCCGGCCCGUGGCAGCUUCCGGUCACCGGCAGCCUGCACCACCUGCUGCGCGGGCUCCCACACCGCACCAUGCGCGACCUCUCCCUCCGCCACGGCCCGCUCAUGCUGCUCCGGGUGUGCGAGCGCGUGGCCAUCGUUGUCUCCUCCGCCAAGGCCGCGAGGGAGAUCUACAGGGGCAACGAGGCCGCCUUCUCGGAGCGGCUAAGCAGCCCGGGCAUCGACGAGCUCUGCAGGCAUGGCCAGGGGAUCGUCUUCGCGCCCUACGGCGACCACUGGCGCCUGCUCCGACGGAUCCUCAUGACAGAGCUGCUCAGCGCGCGGCGCGUCGAGGCGUUCCGACGGAUCUGCGAGGAGGAGGCGGCCCGCCUCGUCUCGUCGCUUCGGGCGACGUCCGACGGCCGGCUCGUGAACAUCGACGAGCGGCUCGACGAGUUCAUGACAGACUCGGCCGUGCGCGCCAUCUUCGGGGACAGGCUGCCCGAUAGAGCCGCAUUCCUGAAGAUCGUCAAGCAAGGAGUGGGCCUGUCGUCGCUGUUCGACCUCCGGGACCUCUUCCCUUCGUCGCGGUUAGCUCGGCUUCUGCCGCGCAGCGGCAGGGCGGAGCGGCAGCGUCAAGACACGUUCAGGCUCAUGGACAACAUCCUUAAGACCCAGGAGGAGAGGAGGAUGGGUAGAGAUGGAGAUGACGAACAGGACAUGGUCGAUGUGUUGCUGAGGAUCCAGAAAGAAGGCAACAUGCGAGUUUCCCUAUCCGACGGAGUCAUAAGGGCACUGCUCAUAGAUGUCUUCGGUGCCGCACUUGACACCACAACUACUAUUCUACAAUGGGCGAUGGCUGAACUAAUGUCAAACCCAAGGGUCAUGCAGCGGGUGCAAUCCGAGGCAGAUUAUGUUCUCGCAAGACAUGCCACGGUACAAGAGGCAUCACUAAAGAGCAUGCACUACCUCAAGGUGGUUAUUAAAGAGACCUUGCGACUACACCCUCCUGCGUCGCUCUUCCCUAAAGUGGACCCGAAGUAUUGGUAUGAGACAAAAAGGUUCAUGCCAGAGAGGUUUGAAGGCAAUGGUGUUGCCGACUUUAGAGGUUUGGACUUCGAGUUCACUCCUUUCGGUGUUGGGCGGAGGAUUUGCCCUGGGAUUGAUUUUGCAUAUGCAAACGUUGAGAUUGCAAUGGCUAGCCUUAUUUACCAUUUUGACUGGGAGCUGCCUCCCAGAGUGGACCCAAGGGAAAUAGACAUGACAGAGGUGUUUGGAGCAACCGUUCGAAGGAAGGCCGAGCUAUUUCUGCAUCCCGUUCCUCGUAUCCCCCUGUAG